UGUCUCGAGGCUGCAUUACAAGUAGUGACCAUAUAAAGGAUUCAACCAGUCUGUUCCUCACAAAUGGUAGCUUUUCAGCGAACCCUAAGUUCUUCCACCACCUAUACAGAAGGCUGGGAUGAACCAUCUUGCGUAGCCUUUUUCGAUCGUCCAAUGUAGUGGGAGCUCCAGCUCUCGGCGCACCAUUUCUGACAGGUGCUGAUCAUUGAUGGUUCCAUCUACAAGUUUCUUUUGCAGGAACUUGUUGGCAAAUUCUCUGGCUGUAUCCAGCGUGGUUUCCCCAGGUUUCGACAGGAAAGAAGCUUCGUAGAGCUGUAGCAAACUUUUGGUGUGGGUGUCGUCAUGAUCACCAAGCAGGUUUGGAUCGAAUUCGUCAUGAUCGCUCGCCUUGAAACAAUCAAAUACCUCUGCGGAUAAGCAGCAGUGUAUGAAUGAAUCGUGAUUCAAAUGGAUCUUGUAGAAUUACAAUAGAGGAGGUGAGGAUGUCGAUGAUUUGGUCCCGGAAAUUUGAGGAUAUUCCAAGGCGAUGUAAGUCAUCAAUGAAUUCCAGUUGGAGUUGUGGAGAUCCCUCCAGGUCGAGUAACAGUUGCUUCACUUUCAGCUGCAGCUCAGAGGCUCUUGCCAGGUAUCGCUCUUCCUGCAACAUGGAAUAACUGAUAACAUGAUCUAUAGUUACUGUGCUGAUUAUAUUUCAUAGCAUUAUACAGUACAAGGAUUUAGUAUAAUUGAAUUCGCAACACAAAGAUGUUCUAACGCAUUAACAUAUACAGAAUAAAAUUGACAGCACAUGGUAAUACUCUAUACAUCCAUGUAUUGUUUGUUCUAUUUUCAUGUUGCUGAUUGGAGCUAAUCUCAUGCUGAUUAGUCCCAAUCAGCAAUCUAACUAACAGGAAAGAAGAUGGAUGGAUAGUAGUUACAGUGUAGGGGCUGUUCAAGGUAAGAAUGGAGUCAAAAUCCCAUGGGGAUUUCUCGUAGUUUCCGGGGCGUCGUGUGUGUGUCUGGUCAUCACUUGCUGUUGCUUUGCAUCUGGCUUUGAGAAAGGCAUUAUUAGUAAUGCAGCAAGUGAGGCGUGGAGGUUUGAAGUUGGAGAGGUUGUUUAUUAUUCUUAUGUUAGGAGUAGAAGUUGCAGAGAUAGGGCAAAGGGUUAUGGCAUUGGCAGCCAUGGUUAUGAUGGAUGAGAAUGAUGAUUCAUUCAUUCAUUCGUACAGACACUAAUUAAUGAUUACUAUAUAUAUAGAAGAGUAAGAAGAAGAAGAAGAAGGAUAUUUUAGUUUAAACGAUGGAUCAUGUGCUGAAUUUUGAAAUUCUAUCAUGCUUAUAUAU
Molecule: long non-coding RNA, 1323 nt
Organism: Andrographis paniculata
Lineage: Eukaryota; Viridiplantae; Streptophyta; Magnoliopsida; Lamiales; Acanthaceae
Exons: 3
Source: RefSeq, a predicted model, not a curated record